GUGGGGAAUAUUGCACAAUGGGCGCAAGCCUGAUGCAGCCAUGCCGCGUGUGUGAAGAAGGCCUUCGGGUUGUAAAGCACUUUCAGCGGGGAGGAAGGCGAUAAGGUUAAUAACCUUGUCGAUUGACGUUACCCGCAGAAGAAGCACCGGCUAACUCCGUGCCAGCAGCCGCGGUAAUACGGAGGGUGCAAGCGUUAAUCGGAAUUACUGGGCGUAAAGCGCACGCAGGCGGUCUGUCAAGUCGGAUGUGAAAUCCCCGGGCUCAACCUGGGAACUGCAUUCGAAACUGGCAGGCUAGAGUCUUGUAGAGGGGGGUAGAAUUCCAGGUGUAGCGGUGAAAUGCGUAGAGAUCUGGAGGAAUACCGGUGGCGAAGGCGGCCCCCUGGACAAAGACUGACGCUCAGGUGCGAAAGCGUGGGGAGCAA
Molecule: ribosomal RNA, 425 nt
Filed under: uncultured Klebsiella sp.
Lineage: Bacteria; Pseudomonadati; Pseudomonadota; Gammaproteobacteria; Enterobacterales; Enterobacteriaceae
Description: bacterial SSU rRNA
Rfam family: Bacterial small subunit ribosomal RNA
Source: RNAcentral